AUUGAACGCUGGCGGCAUGCCUUACACAUGCAAGUCGAACGGUAACAGGUCUUCGGAUGCUGACGAGUGGCGCACGGGUGCGUAAUACAUCGGAACGUGCCCGAUCGUGGGGGAUAACGCAGCGAAAGCUGUGCUAAUACCGCAUACGAUCUACGGAUGAAAGCGGGGGAUCGCAAGACCUCGCGCGGACGGAGCGGCCGAUGGCAGAUUAGGUAGUUGGUGGGAUAAAAGCUUACCAAGCCGACGAUCUGUAGCUGGUCUGAGAGGACGACCAGCCACACUGGGACUGAGACACGGCCCAGACUCCUACGGGAGGCAGCAGUGGGGAAUUUUGGACAAUGGGCGCAAGCCUGAUCCAGCCAUGCCGCGUGCAGGAUGAAGGCCUUCGGGUUGUAAACUGCUUUUGUACGGAACGAAAAAGCUCUCUCUAAUACAGGGGGUGAAUGACGGUACCGUAAGAAUAAGCACCGGCUAACUACGUG
This 482-nucleotide ribosomal RNA is filed under the name uncultured bacterium. Its description in RNAcentral is "partial 16S ribosomal RNA". It matches the Rfam family "Bacterial small subunit ribosomal RNA", at positions 30 to 507 of the family's 1533-position model. The record is from RNAcentral.